GGCGACGAUCCCUAGCUGGUCUGAGAGGAUGACCAGCCACACUGGAACUGAGACACGGUCCAGACUCCUACGGGAGGCAGCAGUGGGGAAUAUUGCACAAUGGGCGCAAGCCUGAUGCAGCCAUGCCGCGUGUAUGAAGAAGGCCUUCGGGUUGUAAAGUACUUUCAGCGGGGAGGAAGGUGUUGUGGUUAAUAACCACAGCAAUUGACGUUACCCGCAGAAGAAGCACCGGCUAACUCCGUGCCAGCAGCCGCGGUAAUACGGAGGGUGCAAGCGUUAAUCGGAAUUACUGGGCGUAAAGCGCACGCAGGCGGUCUGUCAAGUCGGAUGUGAAAUCCCCGGGCUCAACCUGGGAACUGCAUUCGAAACUGGCAGGCUAGAGUCUUGUAGAGGGGGGUAGAAUUCCAGGUGUAGCGGUGA
This 420-nucleotide ribosomal RNA is filed under the name Enterobacter sp. 11A(2010). Its description in RNAcentral is "bacterial SSU rRNA". It matches the Rfam family "Bacterial small subunit ribosomal RNA", at positions 272 to 684 of the family's 1533-position model. RNAcentral also lists the same sequence under 10 other names. The record is from RNAcentral. Lineage: Bacteria; Pseudomonadati; Pseudomonadota; Gammaproteobacteria; Enterobacterales; Enterobacteriaceae.